Plodia interpunctella (Indianmeal moth) is the source of this 507-nucleotide long non-coding RNA. RefSeq lists it as uncharacterized. The transcript has 5 exons. The record is from RefSeq and is a predicted model, not a curated record. Lineage: Eukaryota; Metazoa; Arthropoda; Insecta; Lepidoptera; Pyralidae.
AUUGGAUCAAACGCGGCGCUUUUUAAAUUAAAUUGCAGCAAUAUUUUGAUAGUGUGGAUUCCGGGGUACGAGCAAGUCCCGACAAUUUUCAACGCUGUUGGAGUAGGAAUGGUAGUCAUGCGAUUUGGCUAGGCCUCUUACUGGAGCACGAGGUCGGGUAACCGAUUAUGGUCUGAUCUUACAAACAUGUUAAAUAGUAUUGGUGGUGGUGUCAAUAAAAGUAUGGGCAGAUUUAAAAACAAAAAUCAAGUGUUGACCUUGCGACAACAUGCAAGAGUGACUGGAGGUAGAGCAGCAAGCCAGCAAACCUUUUCGGCUAUGAAAGAAAGAGUGUUAUCCAUAAUCGGAACUACAGCAGUGGAAGGACAAGACUAUACAAGAGCUUGGAUUUAGUUCGAAGUCGCACUCACUUGAUGAUCUGCGUAUUGUUAAACUCCUCUGGCUGGACGCAGGCGUGGAACAGCUGGUCUUCGACGCGGAUCCACUCCUCGGUGACGACGGGGAUGA